RNAcentral lists this ribosomal RNA (93 nucleotides) under Pseudoalteromonas sp. S3431. Lineage: Bacteria; Pseudomonadati; Pseudomonadota; Gammaproteobacteria; Alteromonadales; Pseudoalteromonadaceae. The record is from RNAcentral.
AGCGUUUUGGACCCACCUGACUCCAUGCCGAACUCAGUAGUGAAACGAAACAGCGCCGAUGAUAGUGUAGCAUUUGCUAUGUGAAAGUAGGAC